CAAUAGCGUAUAUUAAAGUUGUUGCAGUUAAAAAGCUCGUAGUUGGAUUUGUGGCUGUCACGGGCGGCCUAUCACUUAGUGUUAGUGCUUGCCUGUGUCGCCAUCCUUGGGUGGAGCCCGUGUGGCAUUAGGUUGUCGUGCGGGGGAUGCCCAUCGUUUACUGUGAGAAAAUUAGAGUGUUCAAAGCAGGCUUAUGCCGUUGAAUAUGUUAGCAUGGAAUAAUAAGAUAGGACCUCGGUACUAUUUUGUUGGUUUGCGCACCGAGGUAAUGAUUAAUAGGGACAGUUGGGGGUAUUCGUAUUUCAUUGUCAGAGGUGAAAUUCUUGGAUUUCUGAAAGACGAACUACUGCGAAAGCAUUUACCAAGGAUGCUUUCAUUAA
This 380-nucleotide ribosomal RNA is filed under the name uncultured eukaryote. RNAcentral's name for it is "partial 18S ribosomal RNA". It matches the Rfam family "Eukaryotic small subunit ribosomal RNA", at positions 592 to 976 of the family's 1831-position model. The record is from RNAcentral.